AUUGAACGCUGGCGGCAGGCCUAACACAUGCAAGUCGAACGGUAACAGGAAACAGCUUGCUGUUUCGCUGACGAGUGGCGGGCGGGUGAGUCAUGUCUGGGAAACUGCCUGAUGGAGGGGGAUAACUACUGGAAACGGUAGCUAAUACCGCAUAACGUCUCAAGACCAAAGAGGGGGGCCCUCUGGCCUCUUGCCAUCGGAUGUGCCCAGAUGGGAUUAGCUUGUUGGUGGGGUAACGGCUCACCAAGGCGACGAUCCCUAGCUGGUCUGAGAGGAUGACCAGCCACACUGGAACUGAGACACGGUCCAGACUCCUACGGGAGGCAGCAGUGGGGAAUAUUGCACAAUGGGCGCAAGCCUGAUGCAGCCAUGCCGCGUGUAUGAAGAAGGCCUUCGGGUUGUAAAGUACUUUCAGCGGGGAGGAAGGGAGUAAAGUUAAUACCUUUGCUCAUUGACGUUACCCGCAGAAGAAGCACCGGCUAACUCCGUG
This 490-nucleotide ribosomal RNA is filed under the name uncultured bacterium. Its description in RNAcentral is "partial 16S ribosomal RNA". It matches the Rfam family "Bacterial small subunit ribosomal RNA", at positions 30 to 507 of the family's 1533-position model. The record is from RNAcentral.